RNAcentral lists this unclassified non-coding RNA (231 nucleotides) under Glomus sp. RNAcentral's name for it is "partial contains 5.8S ribosomal RNA and internal transcribed spacer 2". The stretch from base 1 to 71 matches the Rfam family "5.8S ribosomal RNA", at positions 84 to 154 of the family's 154-position model. Lineage: Eukaryota; Fungi; Glomeromycota; Glomeromycetes; Glomerales; Glomeraceae. The record is from RNAcentral.
GUGAAUCAUCAAAUUUUUGAACGCAAAUUGCACUCUCUGGUAUUGCGGAGAGUAUGCCUGUUUGAGGGCCAGAUUAAAUAAAAAUCGGUGUGGUUGCUGCCUUUCGUGGUGACGCACCGGAUUUGGGUCGUAUUGUCUUCGGUUAAGUGUUCUAGAAUUUUGUAUGAUUUUUUUGGAAUGUAUUUAAAUGAUUAUCAGUACGUUAGCGAUUUUGAAUACUAGGAGCGGCCA